This 37-nucleotide small RNA is filed under the name Arabidopsis thaliana (thale cress). RNAcentral describes it as "ATSL256390". Lineage: Eukaryota; Viridiplantae; Streptophyta; Magnoliopsida; Brassicales; Brassicaceae. The record is from RNAcentral.
UUUACUUUUUGUUGUUGUUCUUCUUCUUUUGGUAAUU